Panthera uncia (snow leopard) is the source of this 962-nucleotide long non-coding RNA. RefSeq lists it as uncharacterized. The record is from RefSeq and is a predicted model, not a curated record. The transcript has 4 exons. NCBI's taxonomy places the organism in Eukaryota, Metazoa, Chordata, Mammalia, Carnivora, Felidae.
CGGGCGGUUACUGGGGAGACGCUUUGUUUGCUAACUUCGAAAGCUGCUUCGGCUGCCUCGGCGGCUUUCGAAGCCACUCAACAAAACACGCCUUCGGGUCGGCUUAACCCUCCCCCUGCCCGCUUACAGAAGCCCGGCACAAAAAUGUUUCCGUCGGCGUGCUUAUCCUUGGCCACGCGGUGGCUCUCAUUAGGUACACAAAGGUAUCUUUUUCCUCGUCGAAGUGAGCUUGGCUAAUUACUGCGAUUCUCAGGCAACCGGGAUGGAAACCGAGAGUUGAAGCGACUUUAUAGGCACACAUAGUUCCAUUUGGUGUCAUCUUUUGAAGCUGCCUCAAGGCCAAGAAAAGACACAGAGUUGUGAUCCUCUGAGAAGGUGGAAAAGAAGCCGAAAGACAAUUCAAUGGCAAGAGUGCUGGAAAGUGGAGAAAGAGCAUAGACCACAAAGUUGGAAGUAUUCAUGGAAGACAGAAGAGUUUGCAGGGACAAAAAAAAGCGAUUCAAACAAAUCUGCAUUUCUGUAAAUGACAAAGCCGAAAGAGAUAUGGAGCCCUCCUUAACUCUCCAACUCUAUUCAAGAUAAAAGGUAUAGACUUUUGCAUUUCUUAAACAAUGGGUUCCCUUACCUUUACUACUCUAAUAAUCCAGGGGGUUGUUACUUAAAUAUUUUUAUAUCAUGUGUCUUUUCCUUCAAUAGCUCCAUGAAUACAGGUACAAAAAUUCUUCAUAAAAUAUUAGCAAAGAGAAUUCAACACUUAAGAAAAGGAUAAUAUAUCAUCACAAAGAUAUGCAAGAGUGGCCUAACAGUCAAAAAAUGAAUCAGUGUAACUCACUGUAUUAACAACAAUGCAAAGAGGAAAAAUACUGUAUGAACAUUUCAAAAAAUGCAAAAAAGGGCACAUGUUUGAUCUUGUAUUACAGUCCCACUAACACCUGAAGCUGUUUUUGUUUGUUUUUAGUCUA